ACAGAAGUUAUAUUUGAAGAGUGACAGCUGUGUUUGUUCAAAACCUGUCGAGGAUUUUGGUCUGACCAGAAGUGAGGAUCUGGGCCUCAACUCGGUCCUGCAGGUGUGUCCUCUACUUCCUGUCGGGCAGGCCCCAGGUGGUUGGGAUGGGCAGCUCCACCUCCUCCACACUGACUCUCGUGGGUCUGCGGUGGGGAGAGGUUGCAGCAUCAGAGUUCCUCUGGGUUAACAUCAGCGCCGACAAGCCCAGGUUUCUCCACUCCAAAGUCAUGGUCACGGAGGCGAGGAAACGGCAGCUUUACCUACGCCGACUAACGAGGUCCGACAUGGACUCCAGGAUGCCCACCAACUUGGACAUCAUUAUGGUCUUUUGGAAAAAAGAUUCUAACAUCUAUUGGAGAGUGUCCUGACUGGUGUUCUGACUGGUGUCCUGACUGGUGUUCUGACUGGUGUCCUGACUGGUGUUCUGACUGGUGUCCUGACUGGUGUUCUGACUGGUGUCCUGCAACCCUUUGGGUCCCGAGGACCAGGAUUAAGAAACACUGCGCUAGAGAAAAUAACAUUACCAGCUGAACGCUGAAACCCGCUUAAUGCUGCUUGCAGCUAGUGUAAGACUGACACAAAUAUCACUUAUCUUUUUUAUUACUUACCUGUUUACAUUUCUUUUAUAUAUUACUUUUAUUCUGUUGUAUUACUUAUUGUAAGAGCCGUAAUUAGGUUAAUGGUUGCUCAGGAUCGCCACCCGGUGGUUGCCCGAAGAGGCGGAACAAUCAUGGCACCCAGGCUAGCAAUUUGAUUUGAAUAUGUGUUGCUGGUGAUGCUGGUGGAGGACGCUCCAGAGAAACUUCUCUUAUUGUUUCCUUUUGUUGUUUACGUAACUUUACCCUUUUUUAAAUGACUUAUCAUGUGACAUCUCUUGAGUUAUAGGGAGUGAAGUUUGGGCAUAGUUAGUUUUGAGCAUUCGCACACAAUCACAUGCUCAUCUAACAAUCAACAGAGAUAUUAAACUCAGCCUACAAUCGAGACAACCGUGAGUACAGUUUAUUGAUCUGUCUGGAUCUGUCUGGAUCAGUAGCGUCCACGUGGCUUACUUUUAAAAAUAGGAAAGAAGCCAUAACACUUAUGCUUGCACUGUAGAAGACAUUUUUUGGAAACCAAGCAUUUCAUUGCCAAUAAUGCUGUUGUUAAUGUGUAAUUAACAAAUGAACUUCAACUUGAACACCCCCAACUCUGGCGAUGCUUGGCCAAUAGGCAUCUCCCCAUGAGUUCACCACACAGAACUGUCUUCCAACUCAAUCAACAUGUAUGAGCAGGGAAAUGGGAUUAGAAGAAACAGCUCACAGCAUCAUGGAUACGUUCAGAGGGAGGAUGACACACACUCUUAUUUAUAUAUAUUUUUUUUGUGUCAUUAGUCGCUCUUAUUUUACUUUUUACAUCUAAUAAUUAAACACACGCACAGUUUACAAUUUUAUUUUGCCUGUAAUGUUUUUUUUCUUUACUGACGGGCCGCCGGAUGCCUUGUUGUCACCAUGACACCAGCUAAUGGGGAUGAGAGAAAAAAUAAACACAUGCAUCACAUCAUCAGUGGGAGGGACUAGGGAACCUAUGUUUCACAAAAUGUGGCUAUGUUUAUUUCUGACAGAAGAGGGAGCUCCAAUCUCACUGUCACCUCCAAAAUUAUUGGCACCCAUAAUAUAGAGCAGGUACCCAUUGAAUCAUGGUUACAGUCAUUCUGUCACUCGGUGUUGAUCUGCUUCACCUAUUGGACUGUUUAAUAACCGAAGUAGAUUUUUUACGAAAGGUGUCAUAUCAUAAUGGAAACUUAAAGGGGUUUUGAAAAUCAUGAUCACAUUAAAAACAGGGAGAUUUGACUGUCAUUCUGUUACAAAACUUUAGGUUUUCAGAGUCCCAAUUUCCAUCUAUAGAUGUUCUGUAGAUGGUUUGUUGAAAGUUUGUUGAUAGUAUUACUAUCUGUUAAUAAGAAAUGGCUUGCAAAGGUUAAGGUUAUGUUUAUGAUAAGGUUUAGUUUAGGGGUUCAGGUAUGGGUUAGUAGAUAUCAAUUAAAAUGUUACUGAUAGUCGGUAGAUAAUCUGUAAAGCAUUGACAGAAACACUU
This is a long non-coding RNA of Esox lucius (northern pike), 2115 nucleotides long. Lineage: Eukaryota; Metazoa; Chordata; Actinopteri; Esociformes; Esocidae. The record is from Ensembl.